This is a long non-coding RNA of Nerophis ophidion (straightnose pipefish), 1882 nucleotides long. RefSeq lists it as uncharacterized. The record is from RefSeq and is a predicted model, not a curated record. NCBI's taxonomy places the organism in Eukaryota, Metazoa, Chordata, Actinopteri, Syngnathiformes, Syngnathidae. The transcript has 3 exons.
AAAUAUCUUGUCUUUGUAGUGCAUUCAACUGAAUAUGGGUUGAAAAGGAUUUGCAAAUCAUUGUAUUCUGUUUAUAUUUACAUCUAACACAAUUUCCCAACUCAUAUGGAAACGGGGUUUGUAUUUCUAGUUCACAAACAAGUGUAGCUGCAUGCAUGUGGGCACAAAUUGCUGGUGACGAUCUUUAUAACGUCCUUUAUUGUGCUUUGAGCAGUUCAAUUCCCUAAAAGUGACAUAAGUGACAGUGCCGCUGUGCGUUGGCACAUCCAGAUAACAUUUAAUGACGUGGUCAUGGUCCAGAGCAGAACUGGUCAACAGUAUCUUGCUCAAAGGCACUUCAGCGAGGGUCCAGAGUUGGGCUUUUUUUUUUUUUUUUAGUUCACACACAGACAAGCAACCACCAGCAGCAGCAGAAUUAUCUCAGGGUCCGCGGCCAUCGGUACCGAAGCGCUUUCGCUCGCUUCGAUCCCAGAGGCACCUUUUGUGACGGACGCUGCUGUAUAAGUGGGCAAAGUCCCUCUCAGAUCUCUGGGAAUUUGCUCCAGCGGCCCUUUGAUGGAGGUCCCGUCUUUGGGGGACUGCUGAUCCGAGACGUCCCUGUCUGGUGUCUUGUACCACUGGCACUGGAAGUCUUUCUUCCACAUCUCGGCGGGGUCCGGUUCAGCUGCUUUAGCGUCAGGGUCGGGCUGGUCUGUGGCUUUUUCUGCCUCCGCCUGCAGGGAGGAAAUUUUUUUUUUAAUUUAAGACUUAAGCAAAUGGACGAUAGAUAGGGCUUAGCUAUGCAAAUACCCGUUUAGAAGAGCAAUAGAAGUAGUUUUAGACUGCUAAAUACAUCCAUCCAUUCAGCCAUUUUCUACCGCUUGUCCCUUUUGGGGUCACGGGGGGUCGCUGGAGUCUAACUCAGCUGCGUUUCUGCAUAAGUCAGCGUACACCCUGGACAAGUCGCCACCUCAUCACAGGGCCAACACAGAUAGACAACAUUCACACACUAGGGACCAUUUAGUGUUGCCAAUCAACCUAUCCCCAGGUGCAUGUCUUUGGAGGUGGGAGGAAGCCGGAGUACCCGGAGGGAACCCACGCAGUCACGGGGGAGAACAUGCAAACUCCACACAGAAAGAUCCCGAGCCCGGGAUUGAACUCAGGACCUUCGUAUUGUGAGGAUGUCCAACAGAUUGUGUUGGAUAAUGAGUUGCAUUUGGUCAAAUCAGACAAAGAGGAACAUGUUCAUUGUUUUUGCUUAUUAGGAGGUGAAGAUGAGCUCCAACAAUUGAUGACCACUCCGGCUGUUCCCAUGGCAGCACUCUCUCCGAUGCUGCUGACCAGGUCUGCCUGGAGGAGGACAACAUGCAAAGACGGUGUGAAAAUGUCUGACAUCCACAUAAACGACUACAGGGUGUAGUAUUAUCUUUACCAGCAAUGUUCUUUGAUUAGUAUGCUGUCCAUGAGUAGCUACUGUUUUACCUUUUUUGUUGAUUAUUUACCUAAUCUGAGAAUCAGAGGAAUUGGAAGCAAAAUUGAAAACUCCUACCAUUUUUCUGUUUCAAAACGAUCAUCAAUGAUGAAUAUUUUGGUGCCAGUCACCAGUGUGAUUAGUCUAGUGCAGGGGUCACCAACGCAGUGCCCGCGGUUACCAGGUCGCCCGAAAGGACCAGCUGAGUCGCCCGCUGGCCUGUUCUAAAAAUAGCUCUAAUAGCAGCACUUACCAGUGAGCUGCCUCUAUUUUUUCAAUUUUAUUUAUUUACUAGCAAGCUGGUCUCGCUUUGCUUGACAUUUUUAAUUCUAAGAGAGACAAAACUCAAAUAGAAUUUGAAAAUCCAAGAAAAUAUUUUAAAGACUUGGUCUUCACUUCUUUAAAUACAUUCAUUUAUCUUUUUACUUUCAG